Molecule: ribosomal RNA, 781 nt
Filed under: uncultured Planomonospora sp.
Lineage: Bacteria; Bacillati; Actinomycetota; Actinomycetes; Streptosporangiales; Streptosporangiaceae
Description: bacterial SSU rRNA
Rfam family: Bacterial small subunit ribosomal RNA
Source: RNAcentral
GACGAACGCUGGCGGCGUGCUUAACACAUGCAAGUCGAGCGGAAAGGCCCUUCGGGGUACUCGAGCGGCGAACGGGUGAGUAACACGUGAGCAACCUGCCCCCGACUCUGGGAUAAGCCCGGGAAACUGGGUCUAAUACCGGAUACGACACGCGGCCGCAUGGCCUGCGGGUGGAAAGUUUUUUCGGUCGGGGAUGGGCUCGCGGCCUAUCAGCUUGUUGGUGAGGUAGUGGCUCACCAAGGCGACGACGGGUAGCCGGCCUGAGAGGGCGACCGGCCACACUGGGACUGAGACACGGCCCAGACUCCUACGGGAGGCAGCAGUGGGGAAUAUUGCGCAAUGGGCGGAAGCCUGACGCAGCGACGCCGCGUGGGGGAUGACGGCCUUCGGGUUGUAAACCUCUUUCAGCAGGGACGAAGUUGACGUGUACCUGCAGAAGAAGCGCCGGCUAACUACGUGCCAGCAGCCGCGGUAAUACGUAGGGCGCAAGCGUUGUCCGGAAUCAUUGGGCGUAAAGAGCUCGUAGGUGGCUGGUCGCGUCGGGUGUGAAAGCUUGGGGCUUAACUCCAGGUCUGCAUCCGAUACGGGCCGGCUAGAGGUAGGUAGGGGCAAGCGGAAUUCCUGGUGUAGCGGUGAAAUGCGCAGAUAUCAGGAGGAACACCGGUGGCGAAGGCGGCUUGCUGGGCCUUACCUGACGCUGAGGAGCGAAAGCGUGGGGAGCGAACAGGAUUAGAUACCCUGGUAGUCCACGCCGUAAACGUUGGGCGCUAGGUGUGGGGGC